CCUGGAGGACUAAGAAGGCCAAGUCUGAUGAAGCAAGCCUUGGCUGAUACACUCCUCCUAGAAAAAAAGGGUUGGAGAGAGCAGCCCUUCAUGGAGAAGGUCCCAGGGGCUGACUGUACUACCCAACAUUC
Molecule: small nucleolar RNA, 131 nt
Organism: Ochotona princeps (American pika)
Lineage: Eukaryota; Metazoa; Chordata; Mammalia; Lagomorpha; Ochotonidae
Source: Ensembl